Molecule: microRNA, 20 nt
Filed under: Corchorus capsularis
Lineage: Eukaryota; Viridiplantae; Streptophyta; Magnoliopsida; Malvales; Malvaceae
Description: sRNA CCACVL1_09460
Source: RNAcentral
GACAGAGCAUGCCGUUGGUA